RNAcentral lists this microRNA precursor (59 nucleotides) under Caenorhabditis briggsae. Its description in RNAcentral is "Cbr-Mir-10-P3n_pre stem-loop". Lineage: Eukaryota; Metazoa; Nematoda; Chromadorea; Rhabditida; Rhabditidae. The record is from RNAcentral.
UCCCUGAGAAUGCUCCGACAUCUUCGAAGUAGCGUAGCUGUCGAGCACCAUUGGGGACC